This 84-nucleotide small nucleolar RNA is filed under the name Triticum urartu. Lineage: Eukaryota; Viridiplantae; Streptophyta; Magnoliopsida; Poales; Poaceae. The record is from RNAcentral.
UGCAGUCGGUGAUGUAAUUGUUUAAUUAUGCUGAGUUCCUCUGAUUAUCUCAACAACAAUCACCAUCUUUCGACUGAGAUUGCA